GGCAUUGCCCCAGUAACGGCGAGUGAAGCGGCAACAGCUCAAAUUUGAAAUCUGGCCCCCCCCCCCGGGGGGGCCCGAGUUGUAAUUUGCAGAGGAUGCUUUGGGCGAGGCGCCUUCCGAGUUCCCUGGAACGGGACGCCACAGAGGGUGAGAGCCCCGUCUGGUCGGACGCCGAGCCUCUGUAAAGCUCCUUCGACGAGUCGAGUAGUUUGGGAAUGCUGCUCAAAAUGGGAGGUAUAUGUCUUCUAAAGCUAAAUACCGGCCAGAGACCGAUAGCGCACAAGUAGAGUGAUCGAAAGAUGAAAAGCACCUUGAAAAGGGGGUUAAACAGUACGUGAAAUUGUUGAAAGGGAAGCGCUCGUGACCAGACUUGGGGCGGGCGGAUCAGCCGGCGUUCUCGCCGGCGCACUCCGCCCGUCCCAGGCCAGCAUCAGUUCGCGCCGGGGGACAAAGGCGGCGGGAACGUGGCUCCCCAGGGAGUGUUAUAGCCCGCCGCGCCAUGCCCCGGGGGCGGACUGAGGGCCGCGCAUCACUGCAAGGAUGCUGGCGUAAUGGUCACCAGCGACCCGUCUUGAAACACGGGCCAAGGAGUCGUCCUCGUAUGCGAGUGUUCGGGUGUCAAACCCCUACGCGGAAUGAAAGUGAACGUGGGUGAGAGCUUCGGCGCAUCAUCGACCGAUCCUGAUGUUCUCGGAUGGAUUUGAGUAGGAGCAUACGGGGCCGGACCCGAAAGAAGGUGAACUAUGCCUGUGUAGGGUGAAGCCAGAGGAAACUCUGGUGGAGGCUCGCAGCGGUUCUGACGUGCAAAUCGAUCGUCAAACAUGGGCAUGGGGGCGAAAGACUAAUCGAA
This 850-nucleotide ribosomal RNA is filed under the name Aschersonia sp. JZQ-2014a. RNAcentral's name for it is "eukaryotic LSU rRNA". It matches the Rfam family "Eukaryotic large subunit ribosomal RNA", at positions 71 to 939 of the family's 3401-position model. The record is from RNAcentral. Lineage: Eukaryota; Fungi; Ascomycota; Sordariomycetes; Hypocreales; Clavicipitaceae.